ACGAACGCUUGCGGCGCGCCUAAUACAUGCAAGUCGAACGAGGUAGCAAUACCAAGUGGCGCACGGGUGAGGAACGCGUGGAUAAUCUGCCCUUCAGUGGGGAAUAACUAUCCGAAAGGAUGGCUAAUACCGCAUGAGACCACAGGGCCUGCGGGUCUAGGGGUUAAAGGAGUAAUUCGCUGAAGGAUGAGUCUGCGUGGGAUUAGCUAGUUGGUGGGGUAACGGCCUACCAAGGCUACGAUCUCUAACUGGUCUGAGAGGAUGACCAGUCACACUGGAACUGAGACACGGUCCAGACUCCUACGGGAGGCAGCAGUAGGGAAUAUUGCGCAAUGGGGGAAACCCUGACGCAGCGACGCCGCGUGAGUGAUGAAGGCCUUCGGGUCGUAAAGCUCUGUUGUCCGGGACGAAAAAAAUGACGGUACCGGACAAGAAAGGACCGGCUAACUUCGU
This 453-nucleotide ribosomal RNA is filed under the name uncultured bacterium. RNAcentral's name for it is "bacterial SSU rRNA". It matches the Rfam family "Bacterial small subunit ribosomal RNA", at positions 29 to 506 of the family's 1533-position model. The record is from RNAcentral.